UUUCCGUAGGUGAACCUGCGGAAGGAUCAUUACCGAAUCGUCAAACGGGUUGUUGCUGGUCCUCAAACGGGGACAUGCGCACGCUCUGUUUACACAUCCACUCACACCUGUGCACCCUCCGUAGUUCUAUGGUCUGGGGGACCCCGUCUUCCUGCCGUGGUUCUGCGUCUUUACACACACGCUGUAACAAAGUCUUAUGGAAUGUAUGCCGCGUCUAACGCAAUACAAUACAACUUUCAGCAACGGAUCUCUUGGCUCUC
This 260-nucleotide unclassified non-coding RNA is filed under the name plant metagenome. Its description in RNAcentral is "partial contains small subunit ribosomal RNA, internal transcribed spacer 1, and 5.8S ribosomal RNA". The record is from RNAcentral.